UGGGGAAUAUUGGACAAUGGGCGGAAGCCUGAUCCAGCCAUGCCGCGUGUGUGAAGAAGGCCUUAUGGUUGUAAAGCACUUUAAGCGAGGAGGAGGGUACUGGUAUUAAUACUACCAGGUACUGGACGUUACUCGCAGAAUAAGCACCGGCUAACUCUGUGCCAGCAGCCGCGGUAAUACAGAGGGUGCGAGCGUUAAUCGGAUUUACUGGGCGUAAAGCGUGCGUAGGCGGCUAAUUGAGUCGGAUGUGAAAUCCCCGAGCUUAACUUGGGAAUUGCAUUAGAUACUGGUUAGCUAGAGAGUGGGAGAGGAUGGUAGAAUUCCAGGUGUAGCGGUGAAAUGCGUAGAGAUCUGGAGGAAUACCGAUGGCGAAGGCAGCCAUCUGGCCUAACACUGACGCUGAGGUACGAAAGCAUGGGGAGCAAACAGG
This 430-nucleotide ribosomal RNA is filed under the name Pseudomonadota bacterium. RNAcentral's name for it is "Proteobacteria bacterium partial 16S ribosomal RNA". It matches the Rfam family "Bacterial small subunit ribosomal RNA", at positions 355 to 776 of the family's 1533-position model. Lineage: Bacteria; Pseudomonadati; Pseudomonadota. The record is from RNAcentral.